UGAGGAAUAUUGGACAAUGGGCGCAAGCCUGAUCCAGCCAUGCCGCGUGCAGGAAGAAGCAUCUAUGGUGUGUAAACUGCUUUUGUACGGGAAGAAACACCUCUACGUGUAGAGGCUUGACGGUACCGUAAGAAUAAGGAUCGGCUAACUCCGUGCCAGCAGCCGCGGUAAUACGGAGGAUCCAAGCGUUAUCCGGAAUCAUUGGGUUUAAAGGGUCCGUAGGCGGUUUGGUAAGUCAGUGGUGAAAGCCCUUCGCUCAACGGAGGAACGGCCAUUGAUACUGCCAGACUUGAAUUACUGGGAAGUAACUAGAAUAUGUAGUGUAGCGGUGAAAUGCUUAGAUAUUACAUGGAAUACCAAUUGCGAAGGCAGGUUACUACCGGUGGAUUGACGCUGAUGGACGAAAGCGUGGGGAGCGAACAG
Molecule: ribosomal RNA, 423 nt
Filed under: uncultured bacterium
Lineage: Bacteria
Description: bacterial SSU rRNA
Rfam family: Bacterial small subunit ribosomal RNA
Source: RNAcentral